RNAcentral lists this ribosomal RNA (379 nucleotides) under uncultured bacterium. RNAcentral's name for it is "bacterial SSU rRNA". It matches the Rfam family "Bacterial small subunit ribosomal RNA", at positions 28 to 407 of the family's 1533-position model. The record is from RNAcentral.
GACGAACGCUGGCGGCGUGCUUAACACAUGCAAGUCGAGCGGUAAGGCCCUUUCGGGGGUACACGAGCGGCGAACGGGUGAGUAACACGUGGGUGACCUGCCCUUAGCUCUGGGAUAAGCCUGGGAAACUGGGUCUAAUACCGGAUAUGACUCCAUGACGCAUGUUGGUGGGGUGGAAAGCCUUGUGCGGCUAGGGAUGGGCCCGCGGCCUAUCAGCUUGUUGGUGGGGUGAUGGCCUACCAAGGCGACGACGGGUAGCCGGCCUGAGAGGGCGACCGGCCACACUGGGACUGAGACACGGCCCAGACUCCUACGGGAGGCAGCAGUGGGGAAUCUUGCGCAAUGGGCGAAAGCCUGACGCAGCGACGCCGCGUGGGGA